UCGAACCCACUUGAUCGCCUAAUUGAGGUUUCAUCUGGCCGCAUCCGCUGAUUAAAUCCCGUCCUCCUCUCUCCUCCCACCUGCAGAUUGGGAGUCAGACCAGUCCAACGGAACCGAUGUUGUCUCAACCGCGAUGUUUUUGCCAGUACUCUCUGCAGCUUACAGGCACAACCAAACUGUCAUCAUCUUGAAUGAGUCUUCGGAUAAGCGCUACCCAAUGCUGCAGACAGCCAUUCACAUCUGUUCUCAUGGCUUCUUUCUCUUCUUGUUCUUAGCACAAAGGCGACUGAGACUCGAGUCCUGGACUAAGUGAGGACCAAAAUCAGGUGACACACCUGGCCGAAUGCAGACCUCAUACUUCAAUAGGAUAUUUUGUUACAUAAAAAUGUUCUCUUUGUUUUA
This is a long non-coding RNA of Musa acuminata subsp. malaccensis (wild Malaysian banana), 402 nucleotides long. RefSeq lists it as uncharacterized. NCBI's taxonomy places the organism in Eukaryota, Viridiplantae, Streptophyta, Magnoliopsida, Zingiberales, Musaceae. The record is from RefSeq and is a predicted model, not a curated record.